RNAcentral lists this ribosomal RNA (451 nucleotides) under uncultured eukaryote. RNAcentral's name for it is "bacterial SSU rRNA". It matches the Rfam family "Eukaryotic small subunit ribosomal RNA", at positions 1211 to 1670 of the family's 1831-position model. The record is from RNAcentral.
AAACUCACCAGGUCAGGACACGGUAAGGAUUGACGGACUGAAGGCUUCUUUCUCGAUUCCGUGGAAAGUGGUGCAUGGUCCGUUUUUGGUUGGUGGAUCGAUCCGUCUGGUUAAUUCCGUUAACGAACGAGACCUCGGCACUCCGAAUAGCGCGGCGGACGUCGCGGCCUCCGGGCCGUCUUCCGCACGAGCUUCUUAGAGGGACCGUCCCCCGCCGGGGGAAGGAGGUGCGAGGCAACGACAGGUCUGUGAUGCCCUUAGAUGUUCUGGGCCGCACGCGCAUUACACUGACGCGUCCAACGGGUGACUCCCGACCCGAAGGGGCCGGGGAAUCCGCAAGGCGCGUCGUGAUGGGGAUUGAACGUUGCAAUUGUUGUUCACGAACGAGGAAUUCCUAGUAGGCGCGGGUCAUCAACCCGCGCCGAUUACGUCCCUGCCCUUUGUACACACC